Molecule: ribosomal RNA, 433 nt
Filed under: uncultured bacterium
Lineage: Bacteria
Description: partial 16S ribosomal RNA
Rfam family: Bacterial small subunit ribosomal RNA
Source: RNAcentral
AACGAACGCUGGCGGCAUGCCUAACACAUGCAAGUCGAACGAGACCUUCGGGUCUAGUGGCGCACGGGUGCGUAACGCGUGGGAAUCUGCCCUUGGGUUCGGAAUAACAGUUGGAAACGACUGCUAAUACCGGAUGAUGACGUAAGUCCAAAGAUUUAUCGCCCAAGGAUGAGCCCGCGUAGGAUUAGCUAGUUGGUGAGGUAAAGGCUCACCAAGGCGACGAUCCUUAGCUGGUCUGAGAGGAUGAUCAGCCACACUGGGACUGAGACACGGCCCAGACUCCUACGGGAGGCAGCAGUGGGGAAUAUUGGACAAUGGGCGAAAGCCUGACCCAGCAAUGCCGCGUGAGUGAUGAAGGCCUUAGGGUUGUAAAGCUCUUUUACCCGGGAUGAUAAUGACAGUACCGGGAGAAUAAGCUCCGGCUAACUCCGUG